UCUAACUACUUCAGCUGCACUUUCAUCUCCUACUUUAUUUUCGUGGGAAUCAACGACAUGAUUCCUUACAUUUUCCUAAAUUUUCUGUCGAAGUAUCCCAAAAUUAAUGGCGGUCUCCAAGCUUAAUCACCUCUACUUGGUGCCCCCUCACAAUCCAACCUCAAUCCCUCAACCCCCAAUCUCUCUUCUCCCUUCAAGACCCUCAGCUCCUCUCUCUCUCAAAACCCGUCUCAAUCUCUGCAAUUUGCUGCGGGAAACUCCAUUCAAAACCACCAUUAACCAAAAUGAAGAGCAAAAAGAGGGCCCAUUUAAUCACUACUGCGAAAAGGCUGAUUCUCUCUCGGUGGCUUUCCCUGCACUCGCAUUUUCGAACACCCUUUUCUUCGCUACAAACGUUGCGCUGAUCGUGGGCGAGGACGAUCACGAGGAGAAGCUGAUCAGCCGGUUCCGCCGCGAGGUGCUCAAGGCGGGCGUGCUUCAGGAGUGCCGGCGGCGGCGGUUUUUCGAGUGCAGCCAGGAGAAGCGGAAGCGGAAGUCGCGUNAUCAUUUGUAACCCUGUUUUAUUUGGACGUGCAUUUCUUUUAAUUUCUUUUCGUAUUUUUCUCAUAAUGUCUGGCAGGUUACAUACUACAAUGGACUUUGAAUUUAAACUCACCUCUAUUUAAAAACAAAAAAAAAUAAAACAUGAAAUAGCAAUAAAAUUACUUGAGAAAGUAUAUUGAAAACUUUGUUUUGGGAAAUAUAAGAAAUUGGAAUCAUUUCUUGUAUAAAUCUUUAGCCGAGAGAAAAUAUUUCUCAAGCAAAUUGGCUAUUUUGUAAACGAGAGAAAAGUUUUCUUCAGUAAAUUAUUAUAUUUAAGAAAACAAAUAUUAACCUUGAUAGGACACCAUUUUAGAGUUUCAUGUACUUCUUUCGUCUAUAAAAAAUAGUUUAGUUUAUUGUCAUUUUUGUAAAUUUUUUUAUUAUAUGAUGAGAUAUUUUUUAUAUUUAUAAUAUAAUACAAUUAAUUAUUAUUAAUGAUACUUUUAAGUGAGAUUUUUUCUCAAUUUACAAUAUGUUAAUUAUUUUUAUUAAAAUUCGUAUCAUUAAGAAUUAUUUUCUGUGAAAGAAGCUUCUGCUAAAAAAGAAGCUUCUCACUACUUCAGCUGCACUUUCAUCUCCUACUUUAUUUUCGUGGGAAUCAACGACAUGAUUCCUUACAUUUUCCUUAAUUUUCUGUCGAAGAAUCCCAAAAUUAAUGGCGGUUUCCAAGCUUAAUCCCCUCUACUUGGUACCCCCUCACAAUCCAACCUCAAUCCCUCAACCCCCAAAUCUUCCUCUUCUCCCCUUCAAAGACCCCUCAGCUCCUCUCUCUCUCAAAACCCGUCUCAAUCUCUGCAAUUUGCUGCGGGAAACUCCAUUCAAAACCACCAUUAACCAAAAUGAAGAACAAAAAGAGGGCC
Molecule: long non-coding RNA, 1442 nt
Filed under: Salvia miltiorrhiza (redroot sage)
Lineage: Eukaryota; Viridiplantae; Streptophyta; Magnoliopsida; Lamiales; Lamiaceae
Description: long non-coding RNA (SMIL_LNC001510)
Source: RNAcentral